Molecule: transfer RNA, 82 nt
Filed under: Dreissena polymorpha
Lineage: Eukaryota; Metazoa; Mollusca; Bivalvia; Myida; Dreissenidae
Rfam family: tRNA
About the family: Transfer RNA (tRNA) molecules are approximately 80 nucleotides in length.
Source: Rfam by way of RNAcentral
GUUGACGUAGCCGAGUUGUUAAGGCGAUAGACUUGAAAUCUAAUGGAAUUUCCCCGCGCAGGUUCGAAUCCUGCAGACAACG